UGAGGGCCCCUCUGCGUGUUCACAGCGGACCUUGAUUUAAUGUCUAUACAAUUAAGGCACGCGGUGAAUGCCAAGAGAGGCGCCUCC
MicroRNA precursor from Pongo abelii (Sumatran orangutan), 87 nucleotides. NCBI's taxonomy places the organism in Eukaryota, Metazoa, Chordata, Mammalia, Primates, Hominidae. The record is from Ensembl.